GAAAUAAGGAUAUCCAAGAAUAAGCUUCUAACUUAAUUCUUAAGCAAUAAAAAAUUGUUUUUAUUUCU
This 68-nucleotide transfer RNA is filed under the name Geinula sp. BMNH 846542. RNAcentral's name for it is "tRNA-Ser". Lineage: Eukaryota; Metazoa; Arthropoda; Insecta; Coleoptera; Chrysomelidae. The record is from RNAcentral.